UACGUAGGGUGCGAGCGUUAAUCGGAAUUACUGGGCGUAAAGCGUGCGUAGGCGGCUAUGUAAGACAGAUGUGAAAUCCCUGGGCUUAACCUAGGAACUGCAUUUGUGACUGCAUUGCUAGAGUGUGGUAGAGGGAGAUGGAAUUCCGCAUGUAGCAGUGAAAUGCGUAGAUAUGCGGAGGAACACCAAUGGCGAAGGCAAUCCCCUGGACCUGUACUGACGCUCAUGCACGAAAGCGUGGGGAGCAAACAGG
Molecule: ribosomal RNA, 253 nt
Filed under: uncultured bacterium
Lineage: Bacteria
Description: partial 16S ribosomal RNA
Rfam family: Bacterial small subunit ribosomal RNA
Source: RNAcentral